AAUAGAUACCCUGGUAGUCCACGCCGUAAACGUUGGGCACUAGGUGUGGGGUCUAUUCAACGGACUCCGUGCCGUAGCUAACGCAUUAAGUGCCCCGCCUGGGGAGUACGGCCGCAAGGCUAAAACUCAAAGGAAUUGACGGGGGCCCGCACAAGCAGCGGAGCAUGUUGCUUAAUUCGAGGCAACGCGAAGAACCUUACCUGGGUUUGACAUGUAGAGAAAAGCCACAGAGAUGUGGUGUCCUUCGGGGUUCUACACAGGUGGUGCAUGGUUGUCGUCAGCUCGUGUCGUGAGAUGUUGGGUUAAGUCCCGCAACGAGCGCAACCCUUGUCCUAUGUUGCCAGCACGUCAUGGUGGGGACUCGUAGGAGACUGCCGGGGUCAACUCGGAGGAAGGUGGGGACGACGUCAAAUCAUCAUGCCCCUUAUAUCCAGGGCUGCAAACAUGCUACAAUGGCCGGUACAAAGGGCUGCGAAACCGCGAGGUGGAGCGAAUCCCAUAAAGCCGGUCUCAGUUCGGAUUGGAGU
Molecule: ribosomal RNA, 527 nt
Filed under: uncultured bacterium
Lineage: Bacteria
Description: bacterial SSU rRNA
Rfam family: Bacterial small subunit ribosomal RNA
Source: RNAcentral